Molecule: transfer RNA, 77 nt
Filed under: Gardnerella vaginalis
Lineage: Bacteria; Bacillati; Actinomycetota; Actinomycetes; Bifidobacteriales; Bifidobacteriaceae
Also listed under: 15 other names
Description: tRNA-Arg
Rfam family: tRNA
About the family: Transfer RNA (tRNA) molecules are approximately 80 nucleotides in length.
Source: RNAcentral
GCGCCAGUAGCCCAACGGAUUAGAGCAUCUGACUACGGAUCAGAAGGUUGCAGGUUCGAAUCCUGUCUGGCGCACGA